This 1276-nucleotide long non-coding RNA is filed under the name Olea europaea subsp. europaea. The record is from RNAcentral. Lineage: Eukaryota; Viridiplantae; Streptophyta; Magnoliopsida; Lamiales; Oleaceae.
CAUGCAUAGUAACAAUAAGUAGAAAGUUGGAACAAGAUAAUGAGAUUAUGAUGCAUAUAUACUAUAAUGUUUACGGUAGAAUUAGAAAAGAGCAAAUAUAAACCAAUGAUUUGAUAUUAUCUACAUAGAUACUGAAAAUGACAUGUAUGGUCAGGCUUGCAAAUAAAUGUCCCGUCACUAAAAUAAAAGAGCUGAAGAGUCCAUAUCGUACUUUAUUUCAAGCAUUAAGGGGAAUCUUAUCUCCUAAUUUCUCUUAUAAAUGAAUUUUUGGUUCCAUUGAUGAAUAGCAAGCAAUAAGCAUUGAAGAAGAUCGAUUUUGAGUAGAAGAAAUUCCAGUCUUUUUGGCCAAAUAAAAAUAAAUAAAUUAGUUCCCCUUCGCCACGGCAAAGUUAAUUAGCUUUUAUAAGACAAGUGAUGACAAAUUUUCUUCUUGAACUUUCUUCAACAUUAGUAUUAUUUUUUAUUAUUGAAUGAUCUAUUUUCUUAUACUCUUACAUUUAUUAUUGAUUCAGUUGGUUCUAUUUAGACGAUUAUGGUGAGUUAUUUCAGAAGGAGAAAUUUUGAUAAUUUUCUUGUUGAAUUCCACGAUUAUGACACAUAUGUAGAUUGUUGACAAAUUUUAUCAUAAAAGAUACCUAUAACUCUGUGAGUCUGUUUGAUUGCAAGAAUAGAAUUUUUGUGCAAUCAAACAGGGCUUAAUUGUUGCUUAUUAGAAAAGCAAAAUAAUGCGCACAUUUUAUAUUCAUAAUUGUUUGGAUGGAAAGAAGAUUAAUAGCAAGUUUGGCUGCGCAUAUAAGCUCAAAUCAUAUCCAAACGUGCGGCUUAAAUCAUAUGAUGACUUCUUUUUCAGCACAAAUGAAAAUAAGCAAUAAGCUUGACCAUCCAACUUAUUCAAAAUUGUUUUACCAAGUGUGUCAUUACACUUCAUUAUCUUAAUUCAGUUAAUAUCCACCUAUUUUAGUGCGAUUACAUUAAUUAUGAUAAAAACUCAAAUUUGUAUGCAAUUGGCACGAAAGGGUAAAUUUUAGCUAAUUUGGGGUUGGUUCCAAGCAAUUAAAGAUAAUCGAAUAGCACAAAGUGAUUACAAGUAAGAGAAAGAGCUAUCAAAAGAAUAUCGCAAGUUGGGGGAGAAAUUCAACUUUUGAAAAGUUUGGGGAAUUGCACACUUUGGAACUUGAGGCGGACUAAUUUCGAAUGAUUAUUAAUUUUCAGUCCCAAUUUGGAAAAUUUUGAAAGUUUCCUCUCACAAUAAAGCUUAAGAUUAAAAAGAUCAAAA